UACGUAGGGGGCAGGCGUUAAUCGGAAUUACUGGGCGUAAAGCGUGCGCAGGCGGUUUGCUAAGACAGGUGUGAAAUCCCCGGGCUUAACCUGGGAACUGCGCUUGUUACUGGCAAGCUGGAGUGUGGCAGAGGGGGGUGGAAUUCCACGUGUAGCAGUGAAAUGCGUAGAGAUGUGGAGGAACACCGAUGGCGAAGGCAGCCCCCUGGGCUAACACUGACGCUCAUGCACGAAAGCGUGGGGAGCAAACAGG
Molecule: ribosomal RNA, 253 nt
Filed under: uncultured bacterium
Lineage: Bacteria
Description: partial 16S ribosomal RNA
Rfam family: Bacterial small subunit ribosomal RNA
Source: RNAcentral